RNAcentral lists this ribosomal RNA (472 nucleotides) under uncultured soil bacterium. RNAcentral's name for it is "bacterial SSU rRNA". It matches the Rfam family "Bacterial small subunit ribosomal RNA", at positions 8 to 524 of the family's 1533-position model. The record is from RNAcentral.
AGAGUUUGAUCCUGGCUCAGAGCGAACGCUGGCGGCAGGCCUAACACAUGCAAGUCGAGCGCCCGUGGCAACACGGGAGCGGCAGACGGGUGAGUAACACGUGGGAACGUGCCCUUCGGUUCGGAAUAACUCAGGGAAACUUGGAUUAAUACCGGAUACGUCCGCAAGGAGAAAGAUUUAUCGCCGAAGGAGCGGCCCGCGUCCGAUUAGCUAGUUGGUGGGGUAAUGGCCCACCAAGGCGACGAUCGGUAGCUGGUCUGAGAGGAUGAUCAGCCACACUGGGACUGAGACACGGCCCAGACUCCUACGGGAGGCAGCGGUGGGGAAUAUUGGACAAUGGGCGCAAGCCUGAUCCAGCCAUGCCGCGUGAGUGAUGAAGGCCCUAGGGUUGUAAAGCUUUUUCGGCGGGGAAGAUAAUGACGGUACCCGCAGAAGAAGCCCCGGCCAACUUCGUGCCAGCAGCCGCGGUAAU